RNAcentral lists this ribosomal RNA (460 nucleotides) under uncultured bacterium. RNAcentral's name for it is "partial 16S ribosomal RNA". It matches the Rfam family "Bacterial small subunit ribosomal RNA", at positions 338 to 795 of the family's 1533-position model. The record is from RNAcentral.
CCUACGGGUGGCAGCAGUGAGGAAUAUUGGUCAAUGGGCGGAAGCCUGAACCAGCCAAGUCGCGUGAGGGAUUAAGGCCCUGCGGGUCGUAAACCUCUUUUGCCGGGGAGCAGAGGUCCGGACGUGUCCGGGCCGGGAGAGUACCCGGAGAAAAAGCAUCGGCUAACUCCGUUCCCGCAGCCGCGGUAAUACGGAGGAUGCGAACGUUAUCCGGCUUUAUUGGGUUUAAAGGGUGCGUAGGCGGGCAUUUAAGCCGGCGGUCAAAUGUCGGGGCUCAACCCCGGCCUGCCGUCGGAACUGGGUGCCUUGAGUGGGCGAGAAGUAUGCGGAAUGCGGGGUGUAGCGGUGAAAUGCAUAGAUAUCACGCAGAACCCCGAUUGCGAAGGCAGCAUACCGGCGCCCUACUGACGCUGAGGCACGAAAGUGCGGGUAUCGAACAGGAUUAGAUACCCUGGUAGUC